UUCAGACGAUGCGUCAUGCAUAUCAAUAAGCGGAGGAAAAGAAACUAACAAGGAUUCCCUUAGUAACGGCGAGUGAAGCGGGAAGAGCUCAAAUUUGAAAUCUUCAAGGUUCUACCUUGACGAAUUGUAGUUUAAAGAAGUGUUUUCUGUUGAAGUUUUGGUAAAAGUUCUUUGGAAUAGGACAUCAUAGAGGGUGAGAAUCCCGUAUUUGACCAUUAUCUCCAGCUGUGUGAUACACUUUCAAAGAGUCGGAUUGUUUGGGAAUGCAGUCCAAAAUGGGUGGUAAAUUUCAUCUAAAGCUAAAUAUUGGCGAGAGACCGAUAGCGAACAAGUACCGUGAGGGAAAGAUGAAAAGAACUUUGAAAAGAGAGUUAAACAGUACGUGAAAUUGUCAAAAGGGAAGCGUUUGACACCAGUGUUGUUUUCUCGAAAAUCAAUUAAAAAGAGUUGGAUUUUGUGUUGUAUUGACCUUAACAGCUUGCUUCACUCUUUUCCUGCUUUUUUUAAUGCACUUUUCGUUUAACAAGUCAACAUCAGUUUCUUUUGUUGUAAAAGGGUCAUUGGAAGGUGGCUUUCUCUUCGGAGAAAGUGUUUAUAGCCUUUGAUCUCUGCAAUCGGAGAGACUGAGGUCUGCAGCGUAGAUCCUUCGGGGUUAGAUACAUUUGUGCUAAGCUACAGCUUUUCAUAGACAACUUGUUGACUAUGUUUAGUCUUGUAACUUACCCGCUUAUGCUAUUUUACCUACGCUUAGGAUGUUGAUAUGCAUGACUGAUAU
Molecule: ribosomal RNA, 775 nt
Filed under: uncultured Neocallimastigales
Lineage: Eukaryota; Fungi; Neocallimastigomycota; Neocallimastigomycetes; Neocallimastigales
Description: partial large subunit ribosomal RNA
Rfam family: Eukaryotic large subunit ribosomal RNA
Source: RNAcentral